GCAUUAUGUUUUACAACACAGUGAAAACAAGUCUGGGAUCAGAUGGACUUGAGUUCAAAUCCUGAUUUUGCUCCUUUCCAGUUGGGUAGCCCUGAUGCCAUUUAGGCAUCAGAAGACUUAUGCUGAGUCCUAACUUUUCCCUUGAUGGCCAAGUGAUUGUGGAUUCUCACACUGUGUCCAAGAAUAACAGAAAUCACAAGACUCUACAUGCUGGUUACUGCUGGUUAUCAACACAUCAAGU
Long non-coding RNA from Pan troglodytes (chimpanzee), 241 nucleotides. RefSeq lists it as uncharacterized. The transcript has 3 exons. Lineage: Eukaryota; Metazoa; Chordata; Mammalia; Primates; Hominidae. The record is from RefSeq and is a predicted model, not a curated record.